Molecule: transfer RNA, 69 nt
Filed under: Cordylochernes scorpioides
Lineage: Eukaryota; Metazoa; Arthropoda; Arachnida; Pseudoscorpiones; Chernetidae
Description: tRNA-Gly
Source: RNAcentral
UGCAUCGGCCGGGAAUCGAUUCCGGGGCGCCCGCGUGGCAGGCGAGCAUUCUACCACUGAACCAAAAGC